This 394-nucleotide ribosomal RNA is filed under the name uncultured bacterium. Its description in RNAcentral is "bacterial SSU rRNA". It matches the Rfam family "Bacterial small subunit ribosomal RNA", at positions 28 to 416 of the family's 1533-position model. The record is from RNAcentral.
GACGAACGCUGGCGGCGCGCUUAACACAUGCAAGUCGAGCGAGAACCGGGGCUUCGGCCCCGGGGACAGCGGCGAACGGGUGAGUAACACGUGAGUAACCUGCCCUCGGCACCGGAAUAGCCCGGGGAAACCCGGAUUAAUGCCGGAUAGCCCCUCCGCCUUACGGGGCGGCGGGGAAAGGUAGCUUCGGCCUCUGGCCGAGGAUGGGCUCGCGGCGGAUUAGCUUGUUGGCGGGGUAAUGGCCCACCAAGGCGACCAUCCGAGCUGGUCUGAGAGGACGAUCAGCCACACUGGGACUGAGACACGGCCCAGACUCCUACGGGAGGCAGCAGUGGGGAAUCUUGCGCAAUGGGCGAAAGCCUGACGCAGCGACGCCGCGUGCGGGAAGAAGGCC